AACCCAUGGUGAAGACACCUUCUCAAGAAGUUCUUAUACCUCUCCCAUGCAUCAUAUAACAUUUCAAGAUCCAUCUGUACAAAAGAAGAGAUAUCAUUCCUCAAUUU
RNAcentral lists this small nucleolar RNA (107 nucleotides) under Gossypium arboreum. RNAcentral's name for it is "Plant small nucleolar RNA R71". It matches the Rfam family "Plant small nucleolar RNA R71". From Rfam's summary of the family: R71 is a member of the C/D box family of snoRNAs containing the C (UGAUGA) and D (CUGA) box motifs. Multiple nearly identical copies of this snoRNA have been identified in Arabidopsis, and it is thought to function as a 2'-O-ribose methylation guide for 18S ribosomal RNA. The record is from Rfam by way of RNAcentral. Lineage: Eukaryota; Viridiplantae; Streptophyta; Magnoliopsida; Malvales; Malvaceae.